RNAcentral lists this ribosomal RNA (332 nucleotides) under uncultured eukaryote. RNAcentral describes it as "partial 18S ribosomal RNA". It matches the Rfam family "Eukaryotic small subunit ribosomal RNA", at positions 1470 to 1796 of the family's 1831-position model. The record is from RNAcentral.
CCCUUAGAUGUUCUGGGCUGCACCCGUGCUACACUGGCAGGUUCAGCGAGCUUCAUGCCCUGAUCUGAAAGGAAUGGGAAAUCUUUUCAAAACCUGCCGUGCUUGGGAUAGAUGUUUGCAAUUAUUCAUCUUCAACGAGGAUUGCCUUGUAAGCGCACGUCAUCAGCGUGCAUUGAAUACGACCCUGUAUUCUGUACACACCGCCCGUCGCUCCUACCGAUUGAAGUUUUCGGUGAGUUGACAGGAGGAUUUUUUUGAAACUGGUUCGCCAGUGGAUUUUAGAUACAAAUGCCAACGAAUCGAUGGCUUUAGAGGAAGGAGAAGUCGUAACA